Megalobrama amblycephala (Wuchang bream) is the source of this 519-nucleotide long non-coding RNA. RefSeq lists it as uncharacterized. Lineage: Eukaryota; Metazoa; Chordata; Actinopteri; Cypriniformes; Xenocyprididae. The record is from RefSeq and is a predicted model, not a curated record. The transcript is spliced from 3 exons.
GGAUCGUUGAAAAUCGGACUCGGUUCUCGAAUCGACAGCUCACCGAUUUAUUGAACAGACUUUCUUUUUCCAACAUGUCCGAUUUCGAAAUAUGCUGAGAGAUCAUUUGGAGUGAACCGAGAAUGAUGAUCAAUGACUGCUAGAAGUGGAAAAAGAGACUCAUGAAACAGGAUUUCCCUCAACUUAACGAGAGCACGCGCUCCAACAUCGAGCUUUCCACCUGAGCCUGUCUUAUUAUAAUGACUAAAAUCAGAUUGAGAAAACACUACGCCAAGACCUGGGUACAUCCUGAUUCUGUUUGGAGUCAGCACGUCCUGUUGAUUCGCUUUCAUUUGAAGCACAUGCCACGAAUGCAGUACACUUUGGCGGCCCAUGACUUUCUUUAAAGGCACAAAUAGUUAGUAAAACAAAUGUUCUUGUUCCUGAAAAGUUAUAUUUAUUUAUAUAUAUAUAUAUAUAUAUACACUAUGACCAUCUUCCUAAUAUUGUGUUGGUCCCCCUUUUGCUGCCAGAACAGCC